GCAGUCGUGGCCGAGUGGUUAAGGCGAUGGACUACAAAUCCAUUGGGGUCUCCCUACACAGGUUCAAACCCUGUCGACUGCA
Molecule: non-coding RNA, 82 nt
Organism: Ixodes scapularis (black-legged tick)
Lineage: Eukaryota; Metazoa; Arthropoda; Arachnida; Ixodida; Ixodidae
Source: Rfam